AGAAAGGGCGGCUUCUACCAUGCAGUCGAGCGAUGACGAUGUGAGCUGUGCUUCCAGAUCAUCGAGCGACGGACGGGUGAGUAAUGCGUGGCCUUCUGCCCGAUCGGGGGGGAUAACCUGGAAAAACUCAGGCUAAUACCGCUUACUUCCUACGGGAUAAAGCAGGGGAUCUUCAGACCUUGCGCUAUCGGAUGAUCCCAUGUCGGAUUAGCUUGUUGGUGGGGUAAUGGCCUACCAAGGCGACGAUCCGUAGCUGGUCUGAGGGAUGAUCAGCCACAUCGGGACUGAGACACGGCCCGAACUCCUACGGGAGGCAGCAGUGGGGAAUAUUGGACAAUGGGCGAAAGCCUGAUCCAGCCAUGCCGCGUGUGUGAACAAGGUUUCGGGUUGUACCUCACUUUCAGUGAAGAAGAACGCCUCUGGCUUACUACGUCAAAAGGAAGACAUCACUCACAGAAGAAGCACCGGCUAACUCCGUGCCGCAGCCGCGGUUAUACGAUAGGGUGCGAGCGUUAAUCUCAAUUACUGGUCGUAAAGCGCGCGUAGGUGGCUUGAUAAUCCGGCUGUGAUCUCCCCGGGCUCCACCUGGAAAUGGCAUCCGGAACUGUCACGCUAGAGUGCGGGAUAGGAAUGUAGAAUUCCCGGUGUAGCGGUAACAUGCGUAGAGAUCGCGAGGAAUACCAGUGGCAAUGGCGCUCUUCUGCACUGACACUGACACUGAAGUGCGAAAGAUGCCUAGCAAACCGAUUAGAUACCCUGGUAGUCCACGCCGAGCAAUGUCCACUAUCCGUUGCCUCCUUGAGAGCUUGUGGCGCAGUAACGCGAUACUCCACACGUGGGAGUACAGCCGAAAGGUUAAGACUCAAAUGAAUUGACGGAGGCCCGCACAACUGUGGAGCAUGUGGAUUAAUUUACGCAGCGCGACAAGCUUACCAACCCCUCGACAUCGGGGAACCUUUCAGAGAUGGAUGGUGCCUUCGGAACUCUCCGACAGCUGCUGCAUGGCUGUCGUCAGCUCAUGUCCUCAAUGUUGGAUCAGUCCCGCAUGU
This 1049-nucleotide ribosomal RNA is filed under the name Halomonas sp. Its description in RNAcentral is "bacterial SSU rRNA". It matches the Rfam family "Bacterial small subunit ribosomal RNA", at positions 30 to 1095 of the family's 1533-position model. The record is from RNAcentral. Lineage: Bacteria; Pseudomonadati; Pseudomonadota; Gammaproteobacteria; Oceanospirillales; Halomonadaceae.